Alligator mississippiensis (American alligator) is the source of this 22921-nucleotide long non-coding RNA. RefSeq lists it as uncharacterized. NCBI's taxonomy places the organism in Eukaryota, Metazoa, Chordata, Crocodylia, Alligatoridae. The record is from RefSeq and is a predicted model, not a curated record. The transcript has 2 exons.
UACAGGCCGGGCUCUCAGGCCUGGGUUUGGUCUGGUUUUUGGUGGGUGAAGGUACCUGACAUUGUGGGGAUGGUUGAGUCAUCCUGGAACAGGUGAAGGGUUUUACCUUGCUAAGUGUGGUGUGGGGUCUGGCUUGGUAAGGUGCAGUUCAAGUCUUCAUCCUUGCAGGGGAAAGGGUCACAGAGGUAGAUUGGGUGUGUGGAGUGUAAGUUAUUGUGGGAGAGGGGUGACUAUAGACUGGGGUUCUCUACUGUUGGGGUUGGGGGGCCAAAGUGUGACUUAAUUGGGUUGAGAGUAAACAGGAACAUAAGACAUGCAGUUGGGGGCCAGGUGUAUUUGUUGAGGUCCCUUCAUUAGUUGCUGGAAUACAGUUGUGUUGUCCCCUAGACCCCCCAUUUCCCUGCCCUGCAUCUCCUUGUUAGUUCCCAAGUUGUUCCUUUGUCCUCUGUUUGUUUUUCCAGCUCUGGUCUAUUAUGCCCUUGCAGCCAGGCAUUGUGGUCAGGCUGCUAGGGGUCUCCUGUGUGUGGCUAUGCCUGAGAUGCCUGGACUAGCUUAAGUAUUGGUGUAAAAGAAUGGGGAGGGUUUUGGGAUGGGGUGUUGGUUGUGGGGCACUGGGCUCCAACUUAGUUGGGAGCUUAGGCAGACAAGUUUUUUGAUCACAGUAGCAGUGAUACCCCCUUCUAAACGCUCACCAUGUAGCUGUGGGACAUAAGCAUCCACCUGGCCUACCUGUGGCCUUAACUCAGCUGGGGGAUCCCUUCCAACCCCAGCCAUCUACAGAGUCUGAAAUGUCUCCUUUCUUUAACACUCAUGUUUAGGCACCUAUGGCAGCUGCCUUGCAGACAGUCCACAGUGUUUCCCAUGCCCCAUCCUGUUUCAUGCUGCCUCUUUAUGUAUUGACCCCUACUGUGUGGGUUCCUUGUUACCAGAUUUGCCCAUUACUUUGGGGUGUGCUCAUUUAUUAGGGAUAGUUUCUAGGGUCUUGGUGAUUCUGUCAAUGUGCUGCUUGUGUUACUGUACGGAGAUGUAUCUCUCCCUUCUGCAAGCCCUCACCCCCAAUGGAGCUAUCUUGCAGGACUCAAUCUCAAUGGGGCUGGGUUCCUCCAGUCACCAAAUCAGUCAUACAUGCACAAACACACACAGAUUAACAUGACACUCCUGACCUGGCUGGGUUGAUCAGCAUGGACAGGCUGACACCCUCAUAUGCCAAGAAUCAGUUCAUCAGAGCAAUAAUAAACUGCAGUCACACACAAGCACACAGGUGAACAGAAUCCCUCUGAAUCCGGCUGGGUGUCCAGCUGACACCCUCAUGGGCCAGCAUUCAGUUCAUAAGGGCACGUCUGAGUCAAACUGGGACAAUCAGCCUGUACAAGCUGAUCCCUUUAUGUGUUUCAAACUCAGCACGUCCCAAUCUUUGGCCUCUUGAUGAGCAGACCCUGCAGUAUUUUUGGGCUUCACAGGGAUCUUUAGCUUAGGUAAAAGAAGUGUUGCUGCAGAGCACGGGAGGAAAAAUAAGCAGAGAAGGAAAAAUAUACCCAAUUACUACCAGUUUGACUAUAAAAGUUAUUUAUUGCUAAGCAUAUGAAAUAUAUAAUGGUACUAAUAAUAAUAGACAUGCAAAAGAAAAACAAACACAAACAAUUACAAUACUACCCUGGUUUCACUAAGUAUUUGGGGAAACUUAGCUCAAGCUUAACUGAUACAGUUCAGGUUCAGAAGUUUAUGCCUGGAGAGAAAAGAGAGAGAGAGCUGGGAUCUCACCAGUCCAAGGUACUCAGGCUGCAAAGCUGACAGGCACAGUCCUUGAAGGGAGAUGAUCUGUUCUUCCAGCAUCCCAAGAAUGACAGGGGAUGGUGUCAGCACAGGAGUUUUCUUCUUCUUUCUUCUUCUUGAAGCGCAUACACUUUUUACAGAUUUUUAUACCCUCAGUUCAGCUGCUUCGAAGCAUCCUUAAUUGUGUAAAUCAUUGUCUUUUUUAUUGACAAGGGGUUAUCUGGUUUGGACCAUCUCAAGAAACUGAUUGAUAAUCAGGAAACACUUAAGAUUAGAGAGUAACCAAAUACUUGGGAGCCAGCUUGAGAUUCCUAUGGAUGGCAGAUAUACUGAUGGGAUAUCUCAUGGUUUCUUCAGAAACAAUAGAUAGCUUGCAGCAUCAGGAUUUUGGAUUUUUACUUGUGCACAAGCCUCAGCUUAGCAUGACUUUUCCAGAUCUUACUAUAUUCUUUUAACAGACUUAAGAUAAUUAUUGGGGUGCUCAUAACCUUUUGUGGAGAGGACUCCCAUCAGUCGUCUCGGGAAAAGUAUGACAACACCUGUGAUUAGGGCUCCAACGGGCUGGACGCUGUGAUGAACCCUUAACCAUUGUUCAAAUGUUGCCCAUACCCCCUCUGACUCGGUCUCUUGCCUCAGCAUUCCCUAACCCAGCAACCGAGUUUUAGUUAAUCAAGUUUAAAUAGGCCUCCCAUAGUGGGACCGGGGAAUGUACGGCCCGAGAUGCCUAUUAAACUUAGAGGUGUGUGUGUGUGUCUGGGGGGGGAAAGUCCUUAGUAAAUCCAGAUUAGAACUGGUCUGAUAAAUGCUGAGCUGGGUGUGUGUGAACAUGGGUUGAUUAACAUUUGGAGCACAGAUUCCCCAUCAUGCAGUGCUCCCCUGCUUCUCUGGUCCCAGAAUUCACUGCAGUUUCUGCUUCAGGCUUUCUGUUCUCCAUCUCUCAUGUAAAUGAAUGGUCAUCUGGUUCCAUCUUGGAUGCAAAUGAGACCUAGGGCAGUUGUUUCACUCUCGUCACCCUUAUCUGGAAGGUCUUAGGUGUGUCUCUCACUGCAUCUUAAUCAGUUUCAUUUAUGUAGAGGAAGGGGGGGGGGGGGGGUUGAGUCAGAAAGACUGCAUCCUGUGCCAGGGUUCCCAAGAACACACAGCUGAGAUGUAACAUCCUGGUCUCUUCCUCUUUCUCCCUCACUUGCUUGUUUUGUCUAUAGUUUCCCCUAUGGUCUAUCAGGCACUGUGUAUGCUGUUCUACUACUCAUUGCGUCUUUCUCCUUUUCCCUCCUGGUUUUUCUCCCUUUGUUGCACUUCCUUUCUGUGCCUGAUGUCCUCUCUUGCCCUUUGUCCCUUGGUGUUUUUGCCUACUCUGACCCUUGUUAAUCUGUAGUCCCAUGGUCUGUCACCCCCUAGUCCUGUUUUAGGGCCCUUCUUGGUGCUUUAUCUGUCAGUCUUGCCUAAUGUCCUCUCUUCCUCUAUUUCCUAGUCCCUGUGGGUCCCCUCCGUCCUAUUUCAGCUACCUCCACCCCUUAAAUCUCACCCCCUAAUCCUGCUCCAUGUCCUGUCUUGGUGUUUUGAAUACUGGUCUUUUGUUGAUGUUGGUGUUAGUCUGUUCUUCUUCCCCAAUUCUUUCCUGUCCCUUUGGGUAUAGCCUGCUGAUAGGCAAAGUCUUCAUGUUGUAAAAUGUUUUGAGAAUCUAGUUAAAUGGCCUACAGGAUGGAAAGUUUUAGUGGCAUUGACUUGUUUGAAUGUAGCCUGGAGGUUUGGAUUGGGGAGGAAUGUAGGCUUUGGUUGUAGUCCAGGGGAUGAGAGCCUGAGAGGUGGGGCAUGAAGCCUGAUGUGGAUGGAAUGAUGAAGGGAUUGGACAGAAUGAGAGCUGGGUAUAUCCUGGGUAUUCAGGGAGAGGUGGUUUAGUUUGGUGUGGCUAAUAGCAGGUCUGGCAGCUUCUGAGCUAUGGAGAAGAGCUCUGAUUUUAAUUGGGUUGUAUCUUGAUGUUUGGGUAGUGGGACUAGUCAAGUUUAGGAGCAGACUAGAGACAUGGGAACAGCCCUAGCUUAAUUGGGAGCUCAGAUUGGGGUGUCCUCCUAACUUAGGGUAUGAGGUAGGUAUGUUGGUUGACUUCCCUGAAGUCUGCAGGGUGGAGAUACGGUGGGGUCCAUGUCUGCAGGAAGAGGUCUGGGGCCUUGGAAUGGGUCAAAGGCUCACACUUCUGGGUGUAGUCCAGGUCCUCCUUUGGCUUGUGUCUGGCCUGCUGGUCAGUUAGUACAAGAGAUGCAGUUUGGUUUGUAGGUCUAUUGGAGCCCUGGCUUUGUUUUGCUGUAGCCUCAAACUUUGCCUAGUUUGCAGGGGAGCUCUGGUUUGUGUUCAUCUUAGUGCUAUGACAGAGAAGGGGGCAAAGAUUAGUUGGGUGUAUAUGGAGGGUGACAGGUGUGGUGUGGUGGCAUGGGAGGCUACAGGUUCAGGAAGUAAGGAUCUAUUUGGUAGCAUGAUUGAGUUUAACCUGGGAUGUCUGGUGCCUCUGGUGUCAUGGCUGGUGGGAGGUGUCUUGGUUGGUUAGGGAGGUUGGAAAGUUGAAGAUCAAGUGGCAUUUGACUUGUAUGACAGGAGCUUUGGAGGGGGUUGAGAGAGCUUGUCAGAUUGGGUGGAUAGUGGGUAUUCCAGUGGAAGGAUUAGUCAGUAGACUAGGGGGUGCUGAAAUCAGAGGAGGGUGGGAUUUGGGGCUUGAGAGAGGAACCCUAGCUUGUUUGGGUGCAGCUUUGUUUGGCCUGUGACAGUGUGGCCUGCCUGGGUCAGAAGCAAUGUAGGGGCUUAGGGGGUUCUGACCGUCUUGAGUGCUGCUUGACUCAGAUUAUGCAGAGGGAGGGAGCUGUGCUGGCUGGAAGUGGCCAGGAGGUUGGGUGGGUGAGUUGCCUGCAGAUUGGGGACUUGAAAAGGGAUGAGAAGUUGUCUGGCUGUAGGUUGGGGUUUGGGAUGGAUGGGGUGCCCUUGCUUGAUUAGGUACAGCCUGGGCCUUCAGGGAGAGGAUGGUCUGGCUUGGUUUUUGCUGCAUUAUAAAAUCUGGCUUUGGUGGGGUAUUGGGUGAUCCUGGGACACGUAAAGGGCUCUGUCCUACUGAAUGCAACGUGGUUGUAUUCCAGGACCUGGCUUGGUUAGGUUGCAGUUGAAGGCUUCAGCCUGGUGAGGCCUGGCUUGAGUGUUGGAAGGAGCGUAAGCUAGUGUAGGGUAGGGGUGGCUGGGUGCUGGGGUCCCUAAUGUUAGGGUUGGGAGCAGUAGUGUAGCUUGUUUGGGUUGGUAGCAGACGGAACAUAGGGCCUGGGGUUGAGUUUCUUUCCCUAGUUGAUUAAAUCCAGUUGCAUUGUCCCCUAGACUUGAUACAUGCUCCCUUUUUUGAUCCCAAGAACUCUCCAAUCUUAGUCUUGCUGCUUUUCCCCCCUUUUUCUGAAGUGCCCCUGUCUUAACUGACCUUUCCCACCCUACCCUGAUCCUACCUCCAGUCACUUUCUGUUCCCUUCUCCUCUAGUCCUGCCCCUCUUCUGCUUUGGGUUUGCUGUCCCUCUUGGCUGCUCUGCUGCACCUUCUUCAGUUACAUGUGUAGUCACCUAACUAUGGCCUGAAUAUCUCUUCCUUCAUUUCUUUUCCUUGUGAAAAAUCUUAAUUCAUAGAAGGUUAAAAUGGAAUGGUUGUCUCCAGCAGCUAUGAAAGGGAAUUGGCCUGAAAAUUAAAUUAUACAAGUAGUUAUACGACAUGGCGGCCACUAGAGGACAGCAUUCACUGUGGAAAGAGAGACAGACAGGGGUUGCAUUGGUUUUAGAACUGAUAAGAAAAUGGUGAUGGUUAUUAUUAUUUUUUAUUUAAAAAACUUAGUUGAAAGAUUUCUGUCAAUUGCAGAAAACUGCCAGACUCUAUCCAAUGUUGAUUAUUCACAGUACAUUUUUUUUUUUCUGUUACCCUAGCAGAAAUAUGGUCGUAGGGAGGAUACUACAUGACAAAUAUGUCAACUGUUAUGUCUUGGUAUAGCGUCUUUUCUUGCCAUAUCCUUGAUGGUAGGCCAGAGAAGCAUGCCUGUACAUGUAUUGGUGCAUCACUGCAGUUUUCUUUUGUUUCCAGAAAAUACUUACCUGAUUAUACCCAUGCUCCCUAAGCUGUGUGUCUCAGUGAAUAUGGUACAUUUUACUAUGAAGUAAUUGCUUUCUAACUGGAUGGUUAAGGCCCCUGCUACUUCUUUGGGUGAAUCUGGUAUCUAGCCUUUCCUUUACUGAAUGCCAUAAACAUCUACUUAAGGAUUUGAAUUAUUUAUUAAAUAUAUACUGUAAACAUAAUCAUAUAUCUGAGACAUGCUCUGCAAUUAGAGCAGUGAUGUGUGUUAAGAUUUGUCUCCUUCAGUGUUGUUCUGCUUAUUCAUCAAAUCAUUACUUUGCGGGGAGAAGGCAUGCCUACCCAGGAUGCCUCAAAACCUGUCACUGUGCUGAUUUAUAACUUUCUCUCAUUUGCUUCAUUUGGCAUAACUUAUGUUUGGCAGUAGCUUAUAUUUCACUAGUUGAUUGACAGGCUGUGGUAAAGUACUGUCUACCCAUGUGACUUCUGAUUUUUAACUUGGCUCAGUUGUUUUCUACCUGUCUGUCAUGUGUGUCUGAAGAACCCUAAUUUAGCAUUGCCAGCAUCCUUGCUCAUCUUUCACUUGAUAGCUAGUUCCUGUGAUAAGCCUUUCUUUGGGUAGGCCAUCUGAAGGGUUACAGUCAGUAACUAUUAUUUCCCUGUAAACUUCUUUGCCCCACAUAUAACUGCCUAGCAAAAGUGUCUGUAGUACUUGCUCUCACAAGUUCCCUAGUACUUGUUCUCUCUUUUAAACUGUAUAACUGGCAUUGCACUGUUAGUUUAAACUGUGUAUAGUCAGCUUGACCAAACACUUCUUAGGGAAAAUGUCUAAUUAUCAUUUCUUAUUUAGAUUAAAAUAAUGUUACCUAUUGCUGUUCAUACCCCUGGUGGCAGCCAUGGUCCUUGUUUAGUUUGGUGCUACCUCAAGGGCUGUGGUGGGCAGUGGCUGACCUGGUUUGGGCAAGGCCAGAACUAUUAUACUGUGGCCACAGUAUUAAGGGGUGGAGAUCCAGUUUGCUUUGGGGCAGGUUUGGGGGCUAACACCAUUUCAAGUUUGGUGUUCUGUUGUGGCAUAGAGACGGAGGCAAAGCUUGUUUGGGUGCAUCCUGCAAGUUUUCACCAGGAGGGACAAAGUGUGGUUUUGUUCAUGUAGCCUGAGUGUACAGGUGACGGAGUCCUGGUUUGGUUGGAUUCCUUCUGGGAGUUGGGGGAGUGCCAUUAACUUGGGUUUGGUUGGGGGUUCAGGUAGAAGGGGUGUCUUGGCACAGUUGGUGGCAAUUGAAUGAUGGUGGUGUGGGUUUGGGAGCAUAAAUGCAGCCCUAGUUUGGUUGGCUGUAGGCUGGGAUGGCUUGAAAGAGGUGGGAGGUUCUAUGUUGUUGAAGGCAGUCCAAGUACUUGCCUUCAGAAUGUCAAUUGGUUUGGUUGCUUGGUGAAAUGUAGCCUUAGGUGAGGAUGGCUGGAUGUAGUCCUGUGUCAAAAUUUGUGGGGAGAAGCUUGUCUUAUUUGAGUUGUUAGAAACCCUGUUUUUUGGGUUGGUGCAUGACUGCAGCCUUGGGGGUAGUGUCAGGUGGCUUCAGGAGUGGAAGUCUUAGUCAGUUAGCUGUGGUAUGGGGCUUGAGAGCUAGGAGAAGUUGCUGGGAAACAAAGGUGGGAAGAGAGGAGAGCCAGGAGGAGCUGCUGAAAGACCAAGAUGAGGACAAGUGCCAGGAGAAGUUGCUGUGAGAGCAAAGGGGAAAAGAGAAGAGGCUGGAGAGGCACCUUGCCAGCCAAGGGGGACCAGUGAGAGCCAAGAGAAGACCUUGAGACACCAAGGUGGAGAGGCAAGAGAGCCAGGAGAAGCUGCUGAGAGACUGAGGUGGGGGCAAGAGAGCUAGGAGAAGCUAUUAAGGUACAUAGGUGGAGAGACAAGAGAGCCAGGAGAAAAUUGGAGCAGAGAAAGAGAUGCUGUAAGAGAACUUGAGAGAUCAGCACGGGCAGAAGAGAGGCUGGAGAAGCCCCUGGCUCCUCAAGCAAGGGACAAAAGAAUCUGAACAAGCCCUUAACAUCCCAAGGUAAAGAGAAGUGAGGCUGAUUCUUUGAUUUAACUGGAUCCUUGGAGGGGGAGACUGGCUAGACUCUGGGAUCCCUAGUAUCGGGGUCAGAGUUAAGAGUUUUCAUUGGGGUGGUGGGUGCUCAAGAUGGCUGUAUCCUGUGUAAUAUUUUGGGGAGUUCUUUUUUGGUUAGGCUGUAGUUGGGGAGAGGGUUGACAAGACAGGGUGCAACCUAUGUACUCCAGGUUGUAACUCCAGUGCUGUGAGCUUUGUGGCUUGAGAGAAGAGCCCUGGCUCCUUUUGCCUGUCUGUGUGGUUAGCUUGGGUUGAGAGUGUGGGUUCUAGGUGGAUUGACUGGUUUUGGGGGCUCAGAUUGGAGAGGGGGAUUGAUAGGUUGGGUGCAGCCUGGGACUGGGCUUGAGGCUGGUAAUAAGACUUACUUAUCUGUAGUCUGAAGACUUGGAAAAGGUGCAGUGGAGAGGCUGGGGGAUAGGGGUAGCAGUUCAGUUGCUUGUGACCUAAGGACUUGGUUUGUGGGGGGGCUCACUUGGUUGGGUGCAGCCUUAAUCUUCAAGGAGGUGAGUAGUUUGUUUGUUUUUGGUUUUGUUUCGUUUUUUUUGGGGGGGGGGGGGAGGAGGAGGGUCCUGCCAGAUACUCAGGUGGGAUAAUAAGACCUGGGGUGGUUGGAGGAAGGGUUGAAUGCCUUGAUUGUUUGGGUGCAGAUAGUGUGAUGACCUGGCUUGGUUGUAUUUGGUGUUCAGAUUUGGGCAGGGGUGGGAAGCAUCUAUGGUAUGGCCUUGUCAUGUCAUGUCUUGUCUUGCCCUGCUUUCCUUCCUGAUCUCUUCUUCCCUUGUCCUCUGUUGCCUUUCUCCAGCCUUUCUUGCUCUAUUGUGUUGUCCCAUGGACCUACCUAGUUUCCUUUUUUUGGUCUGUUGACCCCUGGUCUGCAGAGCUCUCCUUGUGGUUCCUUUGUUCUUUUUCCCUAGUUGCCCCCUUCUCCUGCUUUGUGCCAUCCAUCCUACUGGUUGUUUGAUUCACCACAGAUGGUUUUCCUGGCCCAGUUUUUUCAUCCUGCUUUUUGUCCCCCAGACCUUCUUUGUUUGCUUGCUUCUGAUGUGUCGUACCACUGUUCGUUUGUUCCUGUUCCCACCUCACUUGCAGUCCUGGUGCCUCAGUCCUGUUUCCAUCCUCCACUUGGCAGAGUCCCCUUUUGCCUCAUGUCCCUGCUCUCUGGCAUCCCCUUCUCCUGUUGCAUUUCCCCUCCUGGUCUGUCAUUCUUUUGAAUAUCACCACCACUGCAUCUCUUUUUCUAAGUCCACUGUUCCUUUGUCUUCCUUUUCUUCCAGUCUUGAUCUGUCCUCUCCAUCAAAGCUGAUAGUAGCCUUCUGUUCAUGGCUGUUCCUGAGGCUGCUGGAGCUUCCUGAGCUAGCUGAAGUGUUAGUGAUGGAGAGUGGAGAAGGCGUGGGGCUGAGUUGGCUGGUGAGGGCAGAGCUUCAACAGCUAAGUGAAGGGCUGAGGUAGGCAGGGCCCUUGAGCACAUUGGUGGCAAUAACUGUUUCAGACACAGCUCCUUUAACUGUGAGACAUAAGCAUCCACCUGGCCUACCCCUGUCCUCAAGAGCCUGACCUACCUGUGUCCUUAACUUGGCUUGUGUAAGCCCUUCCAGCCUUAGCCAUGAACACAGCCUCAGACCUUCCCUGGUCUUCUGUGCUAGUACAGGGAGUCCUCGACUUGCAACGUUUAUAGAUUGACACCCUAUUUCAACUUUGAUGUCAGUUUUGACUUUACAAUGCUUGAUCUGACAUGACACCACGCCACCCAUCUGCCUGGAGAACGUCUAUCCAAACUUCCUUGGACACUUUCUUUAAGAAAGCAGACAAGACUCCAGAAAAACCUGCAGCCAAGACUCCUGAGAAGACUCCAGCCAAGAGCCCUUCAAAAAGUCCAGCAAAGUCACCUCAAAGAAGUCCUUCCAAAUCAAUAGGAUUGCUAGUUACAAUCUAAAUACAUGAAUGUAGCUAUAUUACUCAUCUAUAAUAGAUUGAGUACAAAAUUCUGGGGUAUUUUUAGUGAAAAUAGGGUAUUGGGCCUUGGUUCAAGAACCAAUUCACUAUUUAUAACAUUGUUUCUUAUGAGAAAAUUGGUUCUGAGUUGCAACGUUUCGACUUGUAACACAAUUGGUUCCUGAAAACUGUCUUAUGUCCGAGGACUGCCUCUACUUCAGCCAGCUCAGGCAGCCCCAGCCACCUUCAACCAAGCCCACAGUAUCCCUGCUUCCCUGUCCUGUUUCAUACUGCCUCUUUGUCUGUCCAUCCCUACUUUCUGGGCUGUCAGUCUCUUCCUUCCUUCUCUCUUCAUUUCUUGCUUUAUUUGCAGCUCCCAUUCCCAUAAUCCCUCCCCCCCCCCCCAGGUGUUUCUCACUCUCCUUCUGGUGUUUGUGUCCUUCUGCCUUCUUUCCCCUCAGUUUUUCACCCCUGCCUUUUUCUGCUUUUUCCUCUUCUCCCCAUUUCCCUUGCUGGUAUCUUGGGCCUGGCCUGACCCUUGUCAUGUUCUGUCUGUUCCUCCCUGCUUUUAUCCAAUCUCUGCCCCAGGUCUGCUGUCACCUACUCUUGCUUUGGUCUUCUCUGGGGGCAUUAUCUAUCAGUCCUGGCUCAUGAAUCCUUUUUUCUAUCUUUCCUGGUCCCCUCUCCACCCCUCUGCUUUUCCUGCCACACUUCACCUUCUUGACUCCAUAGUCUUGCCUCAUUUCCUGUCUUGGAUUCUAGUCCUGGACUCUUCUUUUUCCCCUCUGCUCCCUUUUGUGCCUUUGGGCUUAGUAUGGGUUUUUUAAGAGACUGCAUUUGAUAAAAGUUUAGGGAAAUUCAUGAAGCUGACCUAAAGAGUGGAGGUUUUGAUGGCAUUAUAGUUGGGAAGCUUUAAAAGCGGGUAGCCUUGGGCUUCUUUGGUUGCAGGCCAGUGUGAUUGUUCGGUGGUUGGUUUCAAUGGCUGCAGUUAUGGGGGUAGGAUGAUGUAUGUUUGGGGUGACUAUCAAAUGUGACAGACCAAGUGCUGGGUUGCUUGUUGCAUCCUGGGUGUUUAGGGACCAGAGAUGUGGGGUGGAAAAUUUUCCACAGAAAAUUCCAAAAUGGAAACUUUUCCAAAAAAUUUUCCAUUGCUUUUAUUUUUCUGUGGGAAACUUUCCAUGUCUAAAAAUUUAUUGUUUCAUAAAAUUAAUUAGUAACAAUGAAUGGAUGCCAAUACAAUAUUAGGCAAGCCUGGCAGUUUCAAAGUUGUAAUUUGAUGUUUUUCAAGUGAUUAUCCCUAGGAAGUAUGUGAGAGAGUACAUAUGUUUUAUUGGUUUAUAAACAGGAGGGUAAAUACACUCACAUAAUAAUACAAACCAAAAAUCAAGUUAUGAAUUCCCAUAAUUGGCUGUGCACACCAAAUCAAAAACAAAACACGACAUCUCAUGCACAGUUCUUUGGGUGUACCUAAAAUUAGUGUCACCAGUUUUCAGUACCUUUUUGGUUUUUUUCUUACACUGUUUGUUUAAAUUUAAGGGGAAGUACAUGCUAUUGUGCAUUGUUUUUACAUUUUUACAAAUGCUCUAAUAAAAAUAAUUUGUUUCCACAAACUUUGAAUUUGCUUGAAUAUAACAUUUAAACCAAAUUAAGUGUGCUGUAUUUAAUUUUUUUCCCCAUAUCAAAUAUUUCAAUUCAAAUACUUAUGGCUAUUGGGACAUAAAACAUGGGGAUAUUUUUUAGUUUUGUUUACUACAUGCAAGUCAAAUAAACACGCUAAAUCAAUCAUGCUCUACUUGGGACACUGGAAAAUUUUCUGGAAAUCUUUUCCAACUCAGUUUUCUGGAAAACUCACAUCUCUGUCAGGGACAGGUGUCUGUUUGGUGAUGGGUAACUGAGGGAGGUUUAGCUUCUGAGCUCUAGAGAGGAGGUUUGACUUAGUUGGGUACAAUCUUGAUUUUUGGGAUGUCAAGGGUGGAGCCUGCUUCAGUUAUUAGGGGAACCCUUGGGGGUUCUCCUUGGCUGGGAGCAGCUUCUAUGUCUGGUUAGGCUGCCCUUGCUUGUUGGGUGGAAGGCUGGUUGUGUGUGCAGCCUGGGGACUUGCAGAAUUGGGUUGGAGGUUGGGGGUGCUAAUUCUCUUAGCUAAGACCUGAAGAUUGGGAUGGGUAGUGGUCUCUUUCUUGCUUGGGUAUGGCCUGGAUCCUCAUUGAUUGGGUGCUCUGGCUAUGGUUUGGCCUGAUUUUUCAGGUGGGCUCAAUGAACUUGACUUAAUCUUGCAUCUGGGGGAGGGGCUGACUUGGCUGGGGACAGGUAUGGGUUGCAUAAGUUGUCACAGGGUUGAGGUAUGUAGGCCUGCUUUGCUUCAGUUCAGGCUUAGUCAGGUUGGGGAUAAUUCUGAUUUGUUUGGCCUUAUAGUGUGGCUUGAAGAUGGGGCAAAGCUUGGUGGGUACCUCCUAUGAUGUGGUAGUUGUGCAGAGUGUCAUUAUGUUGGUACAGGCUGGGGUCUUGGCUUAGGGGUGCUUGUGCCCAGUGUUUACUAGAUGCACCUUAAGAGUUUUGGGGGAGUGUUUUAAAUGGUUUGUGUGGUCUUUAGGCUUCAGAAAGCAUCCCUAGUUUGGUUAAGUGCAAUCUUGUUGUUUGAGCUGUGUGGCUGGGAUCAGCCUGUGUCAGCAGAAUCUUGGGCAGCCUAGGAGCUUUUUGCUCCAUUAGGGGCUGCUUGGGUGUUCAAGCAAAGGUAAGGUCAGAUAAGUUAGAGGUCUUGAGGACAAUGGCAAUGCAGGUUGGUGCUUCUCCAUGUCUUGGUGAAGGGUUUGGGGAACAGGGUUUUCGGAGAGAGACUCCCUUCUGCUCUAAUGGCAUUUAAUGCAUCUGGGGGUUUCACAAUUAGGUUUGAGGAAUGUUAGUCUCCAAUCUAGACUUAGUGGUUCAGCUGCUCAGGGUCUCCCACUUGGAGCCUUGUUGGCAGUUACUCGGGUGCCUAAACUAGUUGAAGUGUUUGUGUUAACGAAUUGGGCUGUUUGGGCUGUGUUUUAUUGUUGGAGCAGGCCUGACCCCCAAGCGUGGCUUUGGUAGUUGUCCCGACGGGUUGCAGACCUUUGUUAAAGGGUUCACUGUGGCAAAAUACAGCCUGUAGUCUGGAACAGCUUUCUUGUACCACUGAUCCUCAACAGCCUUUUCAGUUUAAAGGUGUAGUCUCCUAAGUAUGGCCUGAAUAUCUUUUCCUAUUAUUUUUUCAUGGUGAAAAAUCUUCACGUACUAGAAUGUUAGAAAGGAACAACUAUCCCUAGCAGCUAUGAAAAAGUGUUAUGAUCAGGCCUACUUGAGCUGUUUAAACACAUAAUGGCAACUAGAGGGCAUCAUUCUUUUAAAAGCACAAACAGACAUGCAUUGCAUUAGUGUUAGAUCUAAUAAAAAUGGGAAUUAUUAUUUUUGAAAAGCUUAGCUGAAAGAUAUCUGGUGUCUUUUAGAAAACUGUCAAGCUCCAUGUCCAACCCCAUUUAAUACAGUACAUGUCUGCAUUAGUCUGUGAGUCUAGUGUGGAUGUUGUAUUUUUGGAGGGUACAAAUAUGUAAAUUACUAUGUUUUGGUAUAGAGUCUUUUUACUAGAAUAUCCUUCACCAGAGAUACAGGAUGAUUUAUCUUUUGUGAUGACGUGUUUGGUUUAAAAAAAAAUGUUCAUGCUAUGUGUGUUCAACAUAUAUUUUUCUUUCUCCACUAUUGCAUUUAUUGAUGGAUCAUGUGGGCAUUUUGAAAUCUAGCGCAUGUCUGUGCUUGUACUGCUGCAUCACUGCAGUUUUCUUUUUUUUACAUGCAGUCACUACUUCCACUGAUACCCAUACUUCCUAAGCUCUGCGCUUCAGAUACUGAUUAAGACAUUUUACUCUGAAACAGCUACUCUCUACCUGGAUGUUUAAGGCCCUUGGUACUUAAUUACAUCAAUCAGAUGCAUAGUAUUUCCUGUACUAAAGACAAACAUCUGCUUAGGCUCUGAAUUAUUUAUUAUGUAUACCAUAAACAUAAUGUACCUGAAGUGCACUCUGUAAUAAGCAGUGAAGCGUUUGUGUUAAGGUCUCCAUCCUUCAGUGUUGGUACGAAUCUUAAUAACUGGGUUAUGAAGUAACAUCAUAACUUUGUAGGGAAAACGCAUCCAUAUUUAGUGUGCAUCAGAAACUGUCACUUCCCCAUAAAAUGAAAUAAUGGCCUGCCGCAUUUUCAUUUCUCUAUCUCUUGCUUCUUUUAGCACACCUGAUCUCUGGCACUUUAUAGGUCACCAACUUACAGACAGGCUGUGACAUGGGUAGACGGCACCAUACCAAUUUUUUAUUUUGCUUUUUAACUUGGCUCUUUUCCACCUUCCCCUUCCUAUGCAUCUGAAGAGACCUAAUUUGACACUGGCAGCAUAUUUGUGCAUCAUUCUUUUGAUACAUUCGCUGGAAAGCCUGUCUUAUCAGGACCUCUUUUAGGGCUCCAAAGGGCCAUAAUCUGCAAUCAUUUUAUUUUCUGCUGUUUGUCAUGACCCAAAGGUCUGAUUUUUUGUGUGUGCUUCGGCACUCGAAUUAUCCCCGUGGGUUUACAGCUUCAUUGCACGGAGGAGUUCUGCUGCGCAGAGAACCCGCGUGCAAAGGAGUGUUCCCGCCACUUUGCAGCGGUCUUUGCAGGGUGCAUUUCCUUUGCAACACAGAAAUGCAUGGUGCAAAGGAGUUCCUGCUUGUCAUAUGCAAAUUUGUGCCCCGCAAUUGGCUAGUGCUAAAUUAUUCACACGUGGCUGCUAGCGAUUGGCCUGCUAGCCAUAUAAGAGGCUUGAGCAGUUUCUACCCAAGCCGAAGAGGACUCUGCAUCCAUCUCGUGGGGACUCUGGGUGUGCGCGGCAGGGUAAUAGAAACCCUGUGUGUUGCUCAGAGGAGUUUGGCGGCCUGAUCCACCGCCCACCUCUUCCCGUCUUCGAACGGAGCCUACUAUAAGACGUAUCGACGAGUUUUAUGCGCGCUUGUCCUGGACAUCCGGAGUUCUGUCUGCGUUGAGCCUAGCAAACUCCAUGUGAUUGUUCGUGUUCUGUCUGCGUGGAGCCUAGCAAACUCCACGUGUGUUCGUGUUUUCUGUUGUAACCGCAACUCAAGCAAGUUCUCAGCCUGCACCGCGACCAUCUCGGUGUAAGUAAACAAUCUUAAAAUCAACCGUUAAGUGUCUGUGCCUAAUUCUAGCUCGGCGCCCGCCCUCUCCGACCCGGCCUGCCCGGGCUGCCGGCCACAGCCCGCGUGCAGAGCGACAAAAAGGGCCUGGGGUCUGACCCCGCCUGCACACUGUUGUUUUCUUGAAACUCUUUUGGUGCCAAAUGUUUCAAUUGUGGGUCUAUUACAGGUCCCUGUAAAUGUUUCCUCUUAAACUGUAUAAUUGGUGUUAUGCUAGAGUUAAAUUUACAGUACAGGAUCAAAGGUAGUAGGGCUGUAAGUGACUGCAUAGUCAUCUUAUCCAGCCCCCUUCUCAAGACAGGGUCAUCUGCAACUAAAUCUCCCCAGACAAGUAUCUGUCUAACCUGCUCUUGAAAAUUUUCCAGAAAGAGAUUCCAUAGUUUCUCUAGGUAGCCUGUUCCAUUUCUUGACCAUCCUCAUAGUCAGAAAGAUCCACCUUAUCUCUAACUUUACUUGGGAGGUAUUCAGUUCUAUGGCAGCCUGCCUUCGGUGUGCUGGGAUUGGUCCUUCUUCUGGGGCUCCUACCUACCCUACACCCUGACCAUGUGCCACCCAGAUGUUAAAGCGUUGGUCUCGCCCUUGGAUCUGACCAGGCAACCUCCUUUUUUUUUGGACUUGUAGGAUCGUGGUCUCCUUGAGCCCAUCUCCCCUGUAUGAUAGCCACCUGAGCUCAAACCGUCCCCUGUUGGAGUGUUGUGAAUGAAAGCAGAACUAAAGAAGAACACAAGACAUUCAACUUAAACUCAGCUUUCUGACGUCAGUUUUGACUUUACAACGCUUGAUCUGAUGCGAUGCCAUACCAGUGAACAAGUUUACUGCGUCACUCAUCUCCCUGGAGAGCAUCUGUCCAAACUUCCUUGGACACUUUCUUUAAGAAAGCAGACAAGACUCCAGAAAAACCUGCAGCGAAGACUCCUGAGAAGACGCCAGCCAAGAACUCUUCAAAAAGUCCAACCAAGAGCCUUUCAAAAGUCCAGCAAAGUCACCUCAAAGAAGUCCUUCCAAAUCCAUGUGGUUGCUAUUUACAAUAUAAAUACAUUAAGGUAGCUAUAUUACUCAUCUAUAAUUGAUCAAGUACAAAAUCCUGGGGUAUGUUUAGUGAAAAUAAGGUAUCGGGCCUUGGUUCAGGAACCAAUCCCCCAUUUAUAACAUUGUUCCUUAUGAGAAAAUUGGUUCUAAGUUGCAACGUUUCGAUUUAAGACACAGUUUUCAGGAACCAAUUGUGUCGUAAGUCCAAGGACUGCCUGUAUUACUGUUAGACUCACUCACAAUGCGUUAUGCACAAUACUUACUAUGUGUAAUGCAUUGUUUACAUACUAAAAAAGUAAGAAAUUAAGGACUUUAGAAUUCACAAAGGAAUUUAGAAAUCCAACAGGGACUAAAAUUAAUGGGUGUUGUGGGUGAGAUUUGGAAGCAUCUCAGUGACUUUAAGACUACAAGUGCCAGUAAAAAUCUUUCUCUUAGGACAUGUGCUCCAAAACCAGUGAGGUAUUUUUGAAAAUCCAACUCUGUGCAUCUACAUCUCUUCAUCAGCUUUGGAGCAAGGACUGUGGUCAAGACUUUCAAAGUCCCCACAGUGUAAAACAACACAUGAAGGAUGAGUAAUUCAAUCAAAUUAUUUAAUUGAAAUGAAUAUAAAUCAGUAAUUGAUCCACAUAUUGCCUCAGUAUGGCAGAUUCAAUACUAUAUUUGGGAAGGGGUAGGGACAUGGGCUAGUCACAUAAUUUAAUCUAGGUUUAAGCAUGAUAAGGAUACCCGCAACUCCAGUAACCUCAAUUUAUCUAACUAAUUAUGCUCUUUCUGUAUAACUCCACGACUUGCUGAAUAAUUGUGACAUUUUUCCUACCCCUUGUUUCUGGCACCAGCUGAAUCUGCCUAAUAUUGUAUUUUUUUCCUGAGAUGCUUUGCUUAGACUGCUGAAUACAAACAAAUACAAAGAUCUCUGCAACUCUAUAAAAUAUGUUCUGCUGAUAUAAUUGCCAGGAAAUAGAAAUGGAACUCUCUGUCAUCUGUUUCAGAAUGUCUGCAAAGAUCAUUAUGUGCACUUGAAGGGCUGUGCAUGGAGAUAAUUGUUCCAUGCAUUCUGCAUCUUUAAAUCCCUAUUCCUGAAUGCAGCAGCUGACAGCAGACAAAAAAGUUACAGAGCCAACAAGAAGUGAUCCUAUUUUAGACUUCAUUGAGGGGACCAUAGAAGAAGUUAUAGAAAGUAACCUUAGAUCAGGUGAGUAAGUUCUGCUUAAAUGCAGUGAUACAUGUGCAAAGUGUGCCAGCAACAUUCAUAUUAAGCAAUGGUAAAAGCUUGGGGGGAAUGGCUUUAAACCAAACCAAAUGAAUAACUUCAUGAAACAGGAGGUUAUGGGUAUGUAGAGUGCCUACAAGAAAUGGGAAAAAGGGGUUGAUUAUUAAAAGGAAGCUACAGCAGUCAGGUAGUAUAGGGAUAAAGUAAGAAUUACCAAUAGUCAGGCUGAAUUGCAAAGGAAAUUAUAACAAAGAGCAAGUCUUCUCUAACCCACAAGGCUCUUCAUUUUCUGUUUCUUCUAAACAGAACAAGAAAUAAAGAAAGGGGGUUGCUAUACAGUAAAAAGGAGGCAGAGAUUUAAAAUUAGUCUAGGUGUGAUGCAAAGCUAAAUGCAUACUUGGCUUUGGUUGUCAAAGUCAGGAUGACUGAAGAAUGGGGGAGUUAGGUGAUGUCUAUGCCAGACAGAAGUAACACAUGAAAUCACAUGUCUGGUAGACAGGAUGUUUAAUGAAUUUAUCAGAUCAGGACUGGUAUCAUGUAAUUGGAGAAUAGCUAAUAUAUUACCUAUAUUUUAAGGGAGAGAAGGGAUGGGUGGGAACAGGUGGAAAUUAUUUCAAGUAAUUUACAGACUGACUUCAACAGCACACAAAGUUUUAGAAUACAUCCUAAAGGAAACAGUAAUUUAAAGCCAUGAAAUAUAUAUAUAUGCAAUAAAUUUCAAUAUGGAUUUGUCCAAGGUAAUGAGCUGGCUUUCUUUGAUAAGGUAACAUAUUUUCUAGCUAAGGAAAAUGCAGUAGGUAUAACCUAUUUGAAAACUUCAUUGAAACAUUUGAUGCAGUGCCCCAUGGAAAAAAAUUACCAAAACUGGAGAAGAUAGGAAUUAGUACAAAAAUUAUAAAGUAGGAACCGGCUAAUGGGGUGGCUAAAACAAGUUAUGCUAUGAGGGAACUAUCAGACAUCACUACAGGAUUCCAUCAUCUUUGACUAGCUCAUUUUGUAUCUUAAACAGUAAAGUAGACCAGGUAUGCAAGUAUCUCUAACUACUUUACAUAUUCAAAGCAUUUUCAAGUAAGCGAUGAACCAUAUGCUUAUGAAGUCAUUGCAGCCAGUGAGUACUUCAGAGGAGGAUUGGAUUCCAGUGGAUUCAAGUAUAUCCAGUAUUCUAUAUGUGCCUUGCUCUUAUUUCUAUAACAGUAUAAUGCUAUAACCUAGCCAGUUCAUUAUUACCAUUGUUGCUGAGUGUUUUAUAUCUACUGUUUCCCUAGUAACUGGUGUACUGAACAGCAUUUAUUUUAUGGUGAAAAGUAUUUAAGGUAAAUGUUGAUUUUCCAAACCAAUGCACUGCUUUCCUUGACUGUAGAGCAUCCAACCCCAUUCAGGAUAGGCCAGUCAAAAAAUAAGACUUCUGCAAGGGUAUUUAAUUCAAGUCCUUUCCUUCUGGCCAUUGUAUAAAUGCCUUGAGGAUAUGCUUUUCAGCUUCUAACUGUUUCAGCAAUAUGCUGGCAGCUUGACAGCGAUUCUCUGUGGAACAAGUUAAAAAAUCGUCUUGUCUUUGGUACUGGAGGAGACAACUCAGCUUGCUGAGAUACAAGAUUUGGGGAAAAGCUAGGGGUUCUAACACACAUUUGCUAUGGAGCAAAUGAACUUAACUUCUUAGUAAAAUGAAGCAGAAAAAUAAUGCACAGCAUUAUAUUGAUACAGGUCACUGUGCUCUGGCAUAAAGAGACCCUUCGAAAGGAAAAUUAGCUAUAUACUUGUGCAAGUUACAUUGGUGUAAUUUGGCCCAUCAGUCAUGUGUCUUUCUUUUGCAAGGUCUUAACCCAGCAGGGAUAUUUCCUUAAUGCAAACCAGCUCUUCUACCCCCAAGUGGCAAACUGAGGAUAGCCAACUGUGUAAAACUGGUCACAUGUCCAAAUUAUUCCUACACAGCAAAAUUACUAGAGAGUAAAAUCAAAGCCAAAUUACUCUGUAGUAACUCUGUUUGCCCCUGAUUAUUUAGGGUUCAAGUGGAAAACAGAGUCAUCCAUAUGCUACAAAUGCCUACUUUGGAAAGCAUACGUUUGUCAACAAUCAAAGUAAAAGUGAGCGAAGGUCUUUGGAUAAAUAAAAGGCAGAUGGCAGAAGCAGGUCAAAGAGAGAAAUGGUACCAUUUUCAUCAGCUACAAUAAACCGACUCAAUAAUAGGAAUUUCUAUGAAUUUCAAGCAGGCAAACAGGUUCUGCAGUGAGCAGCUAAAGUAACACAUUUCUCCAUCGAAGCCUCAAUUACUGCCAGGUAUCUAGGAGCAGAUAUAUUCUUACAUUCCAGCCAUUGCUUGCUUCAUGUCAACCUUAUAAACUUUGUGUCAGGGGCUUCAUUCGUAUGCGUUUUUCACUGCACUGCUGUUCCAGAAGCUGACAAGUUUAGUAAAGAAACAAUCUCAAAGCACGCUGGGGGACUUCCACCAAGCCCUGAAAAACAAGAGUUGAUGCUAACAUGUCAGGGGAGUUCCUUGAGAGAGUCUUUCAGGAAGCUGGGGUUAAAUUUUGUGGGUUCCACUAUUUCAGGGAGAGAUGCUUUUAACAAAAGGAUGUUGAUUAAUAAGGAAAUUAUGAUGCAUAGUACCUCAAAGCCUGGAAACCCAAAAUUAUAAGUGACAGGAGUUUUUCAAAAUCUUUGGAUCCAUCAUCCAAUUACUGAAGAAGGGAAGUUAUCCCCUCAAUCUUGUUCUUUGUGAACCCAAUCUGCCCUCCCCCUUCUCCCCCAUGCUGAUCACCAGAUGUGUUUGUAAAGUCCUGUCAAGAUUCUUGAUGAUUAGGAAGAGAAAGCAGGAACAACGCUUCAGUGGUGGCUAAAUUCACAAGAGAGACCCUUAGUUUCUUUUUAACGGAUAGCGUGAGACAUCAGUAAGGCCUGUGUGACAAAAGACAUCAGAGUUGAUUUCUGGCCUGUAAGUUUUGACCUACUGAAUACUGAAGAACCCAGUCCUGAAUACUUCAGCCUCCCUCCACAUGUGUGCUGAAAUAAUAGGCUCCUGAAGUUCCAUGGAUGAAAGAUAAUGCAGUCGUGGCCCAGAUUAUAUUUCCUGGAGAUUCUCCACAGUGCUGGAAGGGAGACAGUUUAUAACCCACCCAGUUGGCCAUCCAGCUGUCUGCCCUCAUUGCCCCUUCUCCCAAAUAGAAACCCUUUGUAGUGUCCAAAAGAAAUGGAAAAUAUGAUUCCUCCACCUAUACUUUCUGUUCAUAGAAAAUUGCCUGUUUCAGGUCUAAGGGCAGCAUUUGAGCCAGUGUUCUGAGACUGAUAUCUUUUACUGGAUUGACUACAGUGUUGGGAUGGAGGUAGACAAGCAGUCAAAUGCAAGACAUUCACUCUUUUGACCUGAUGAAAAAUGUCUUGCAUUCAAAAGCUUCGCUAACUCCAUCCCAAUUAUGCAGAUGUUCCAAUAAAAAGAAUCACCCUAAUUGCCUCUCACAUAAUUCCUGGACCAUCCUAGCUACAUUUCCAUUCAGUGUGCUAUGGUGACAUAGCGAUCACAUGGGUCUACACAUGAUCACCAGCUACGUCGCCAUAGCAGUGUGCUACCUGAUUAUAGCUCACUGCUAUGGUGAUGUAGCAGCAAAAUCUAACCAUGUGCUGCACGCAUGGCACAGUAACUGCCCAUACCGUUGUAGCAACAUCACUGUACAAAGACAUGUAGACAUGCCCUAAUGCCACCAGUGCUCUGAAAAAUGAUGUGAUUAUUACCAUUCAUUAUUAAUUUUUAUACCUUAUGUAGCAUAAUUAAAUGGAAUAGUAUAUUUUUGUAGAACAGGAUCAUGGUCUCAACACAUUUGAGUUUCAUGACUCGGAUCUUGUUGCGAUUGGUAGGUGGAUAUUAUCACAAAAGGAGAAAGGAGAUGUUUCAAAUGGUAGCAAAUGGAAAGAGCAGUGAGAUCGAUGGGAAGUAUUACUGAAGGCACUCCAAGAGGGAUUUGUCUUACAGCCUGAAUGGGUAGCCUGAAAUGUGUUUCAUGUUUCUUCCUAAAAUGGGUACUACAGCUCUUCUUUUCAGUCAACGUCUCAGUCCUUAAAAUAUGCUAAAAAGUGGGUUUGAUCUCAUUGAAGUCUGUAGGAUUUAGUUCAAAGGGACACAGAAUGUCUUUCACUAAUGGAAAUGGUUAAACUUUAGCUGCAACCACUUUCUCAUGUAAGAAGCAACAAGAAAAAAAUCUCACAGCCUAUUCUGAAUGAUGUCUUUUGUGACAUCAGCAAUGGGUGACAUUAAAAUAUAGUUACCUACAUAUUUUCCCCAGUAAAGGAUGAGCUGAGCCCAAGGUGUUUGGUAGUAUUUAAAGAAUUAUAUAGACCAGCAGAGAACUUGUCCUAAAUGAAAUGAAAAACCUUCCUGCAGAAGACAAUGUUCUGGAAUGAUAAAUGGUUGCAUCUUCAAGUAAAAAUCUAGGUAACCAAAUUCUAUAACUCAAAUUGCUUUAACUCUCUUCAAAUUCAAGUGCUUGGAAAGAGAAUCAGGAAGUCCCAGGUCUGGACUAGAGACUACAACAGCUUACUGAUAUCAGCAAUUCUGACUGGUGUAGAGUCAGUUCAUGAUUUACUGCAAUGCAGCUAGUCCUAAGAGAAUGGGAUUUCCUUCCAUAAAAUAAAACGGAGUAAGCGACACUGCUAUUCAAAACUGUGUGUGAGAUUUAGGCAUCAUCUUGGGAUAGGAUGUAUUAUGAGUGGAACUAACAAAUCACCCAUUUUUGUGAUUUGUUACUUUUUUUCCCCCCUCUGAUACACAGGAAGAAGAUGGGUCUCUGGUGCAGUUAAAAGCCAUAAAGUCUCAACACACAGAGGAGGAUUUAGGCAAUUAUUGAUUUUGCUAUUCAAGUAGAAAGAGUAGUUACCAUAGCAACCAGCAUGGUAUGUAUAGCAUCAUUGGUUCUAAUAUGUAAACUCUCUUUUUAAAGAAAUUCAUUCCUAGACUGGUGGCCUUCCAGAAUGCAUUUUUAGCUUACUUUACAUUACUUUAAUUGACCAGCCAUGCUGCACAGCAGGGGAGAAGAAGGCUUCCUGUUGAUAGGGGGUUAAAAUACAUGGGGGUUAUGAUUUUAACAAUAAUUGAUUUUAACAAUAGGGGGUUAAAAUCAAUUGGUUCUCUAUACUACUUCCCCAAUGUAAGAAAAGCUGUAGUUGGCUCAUAAGAGAUAGUAAGCCUGUGAUGGCCUGUGGGAGUCCACAGGAUACUAUCAGGAUGUCAUGGUACAUACUGAGAAUGUGCCUCGAGGGUCUGGAGCAGCAUAGAAAGACCCUUCAUUCGACCUGCUGAUGAUUCCAUUUUAAACACAUGCACAUACUGCCCAAAUGGUAGGAGCAAAGGGUCUCUCCAUUGCUCCUAGUUUCAUUGUACUGCCAUGACAUGCACUUGUAUGCUACCUGCUUGUAGCCUUGAAGGGUGUUGACAUGUUUGUGUGGGGCUGUAGAUGGGUCGAGUAGCACUGUUGAGUGAGAUCCAGGCUAAAAGAAUGUACUUUUUUUUUUGUAACAUAUGCUAAAUCUGGUCACAAUGAGAGAGGAGAAACUACCCUUGAGACUAUUUUAAAAAAUGCUUUUACCAAAAAACAAAUAAAUGGUACCUCAGCUGGUUUAGCUCA